RNAcentral lists this ribosomal RNA (392 nucleotides) under uncultured bacterium. RNAcentral's name for it is "partial 16S ribosomal RNA". It matches the Rfam family "Bacterial small subunit ribosomal RNA", at positions 37 to 433 of the family's 1533-position model. The record is from RNAcentral.
UGGCGGCGUGGAUUAGGCAUGCAAGUCGAGCGAGAUGAGUUUUGAAGCUUGCUUUAGNAACUCUGACAGCGGCGAAAGGGAGAGUAACGCGUAGUUACGUGCCCCGAGGUUCGGAAUAGCCACGGGAAACUGUGGGUAAUGCCGAAUAACAUCUCCGGAUCAAAGGUGUGAUUCCGCCUCGGGAGCGGACUGCGUCCUACUAGCUAGUUGGCGGGGUAAUGGCCCACCAAGGCAACGAUGGGUAGCGGGUGUGAGAGCAUGACCCGUCUCACUGGGACUGAGACACUGCCCAGACACCUACGGGUGGCUGCAGUCGAGAAUCUUCGGCAAUGAGCGCAAGCUUGACCGAGCGACGCCGCGUGCGGGAUGAAGGCCCUCGGGUUGUAAACCGC